CAGAGCUGAGAAACACCUCUAAUGAAGUCAAACACCAAUGCAGUGAGAACACAGCAAUCACGCUCAUGUGUGGACCAAAAUAACUGCUCCAGGACUGCCUGAAUGAGGUCUCGACUCGCAUUUAAGGGAACUCAAUUGCUGUGAGAAAGAGAUUCAAGCCUGAAAUUGCAGGAAGUGAAUGAAACACACUGUGCAUUUUGGGAGG
Long non-coding RNA from Ictalurus punctatus (channel catfish), 205 nucleotides. RefSeq lists it as uncharacterized. NCBI's taxonomy places the organism in Eukaryota, Metazoa, Chordata, Actinopteri, Siluriformes, Ictaluridae. The record is from RefSeq and is a predicted model, not a curated record. The transcript has 2 exons.